Molecule: non-coding RNA, 90 nt
Organism: Daldinia loculata
Lineage: Eukaryota; Fungi; Ascomycota; Sordariomycetes; Xylariales; Hypoxylaceae
Source: the annotation of a RefSeq genome assembly
GGUUUGGUGGUCUAGUGGUAUGAUUCUCGCUUAGGGACAACCCUAUUCAUAUUAUGCGAGAGGUCCCGGGUUCAAUCCCCGGCCAAACCC